Molecule: ribosomal RNA, 301 nt
Filed under: uncultured bacterium
Lineage: Bacteria
Description: partial 16S ribosomal RNA
Rfam family: Bacterial small subunit ribosomal RNA
Source: RNAcentral
CACCGCCACGGUAAUACGAAGGGUGCAAGCGUUACUCGGAAUUACUGGGCGUAAAGCGUGCGUAGGUGGUGGUUUAAGUCCGUUGUGAAAGCCCUGGGCUCAACCUGGGAAUUGCAGUGGAUACUGGGUCACUAGAGUGUGGUAGAGGAUAGUGGAAUUUCCGGUGUAGCAGUGAAAUGCGUAGAGAUCGGAAGGAACAUCUGUGGCGAAGGCGACUAUCUGGGCCAACACUGACACUGAGGCACGAAAGCGUGGGGAGCAAACAGGAUUAGAUACCCGCGUAGUCCCUGUCUCUUAUACC